Molecule: long non-coding RNA, 938 nt
Filed under: Olea europaea subsp. europaea
Lineage: Eukaryota; Viridiplantae; Streptophyta; Magnoliopsida; Lamiales; Oleaceae
Source: RNAcentral
GCAUUUUUAUUUUUAUUUUUGACAAUGAAGGCCUACCAAUAAUGUCUUGCACUCAGCCACAUUAUUGGUUGCUUUAAACGCGAACCUUAUUGUGCAAUUUAAUUUGUGCUCUUUUGGGCUUGUCAAUAAUAUGCCUGCCCUCGAGCCAAUAUCUCCUGAUGAUCAAUUCCCAACAAAUUAUACACUCCCUAUUCAGGCUCUUCUUCAUGAAUGGGGACAUCCGAUAGACCUACGAUAAAAUUAACUAAUGCAUGUACUAUGAUUGCAAACCACUCCUUUUAGCUUAUUUUAAAUUAUCCCAAUUCUACUGUCCAUUUCAUUAACUUUCCCAACGUAUAAGGCUUUUGCAAUACUUGCUUGAGUGGAAAAUUUGUUAAUACUUUGAUACAAUAUCUCUAGAUAUAGGACGGUUUUUGCAAUGCUGAAAUAAGGGCAAAGGUCAACUUUUUCAUACUCGGAUACCUUGCCUAUACUCCUUGCAGUGCUUUGCUUAUAUAGUUUAUAGAAAAUUGUUGUAGCCCAUCCUCCUUCACUAAUACAGAGAUGACCAUCACUUUGAAUAUUGCUAGAUAUAGCAAUAGCUUUUUUCCAUUUCCAAGUUCUGCAAACAAGGGUGCUUUUCCUAUGUGGUCUUUCAAGGCUUGGAAUGCUUGCUCUCACUCACUGCUCUAUUCGAAUUUCUUUCCUCCUUUUAGCACUUGGAAACAAACCUACUCAGGAUAGUGACCUUCACUAUUAGGCAUUAUAUUGCUUUUGGUUUAGAUGGGAACCACAUUUUUACAAGGACUUGAAUUUUCCAAAUUUUACUCCAAAUGCACAUUUGAGCAGAUUGAGUUUCAUCCUGUAUUUUCACAAAAUAUUGAAAGUUUCUUCUAGUUGUUUUAAGUAGUCUCCAGCUUGAAGGCUUUUCACAAGCAUGUUAUCAAUGUAAACUUUCA